This 1380-nucleotide long non-coding RNA is filed under the name Cavia porcellus (domestic guinea pig). RNAcentral describes it as "lncRNA (ENSCPOG00000032796.1)". The record is from RNAcentral. Lineage: Eukaryota; Metazoa; Chordata; Mammalia; Rodentia; Caviidae.
UGCAGCACAAAGCCUACCUGGCAAGUGCAAGUUCCUGAAUUUGAUUCCUGGUACCAAAAAAUAAAACAAAACAGAAACCAACCUAACAAACAAAAAAAGGUAAUGUCUGAUAUUAUUUUGUCACAAAUAACAAAGCAGACUGCAAAGAGGAAGCUGAUUUGAUUUUUAUAUGUGAAAACAGUGGAUGAUGAUAGGUUUGUUCAUGAUAUAUAUUUCUAGAUGACUUGUUUAAAGUGCAUAAAGCAAAACCAACAUUGAAAUGGAGACAGUCGUUUGAAAGUUAUUUGAAGACAAUGCCUCCCUACUAUCUUGGGCCCUUGAAGAAAGCUGUUAGAAUGAUGGGAGCACCUAACUUAAUAGCAGAUAGUAUGGAGUAUGGACUCAGUUAUAGUGUCAUUUCAUACCUCAAAAAAUUGAGUCAACAGGCCAAAAUAGAAUCUGAUCGAGUCAUAGGAUCUGUAGGCAAAAAGUAGUACAGGAAACUGGCAUUAAAGUUCGAAGUCGAUCACAUGGCUUAUCAAUGGCAUAUAGGAAAGAUUUUCAACAACUGCUCCAGGGAAUUUCAGAGGAUAUUCCUCAUAGACUUCUAGACCUUAAUAUGAAGGAAUACACGGGGUUUCAGGUUGCUUUACUAAAUAAGGAUUUAAAGCCUCAGACAUUUAGAAAUGCUUAUGAUAUCCCAAGACGGAAUCUUUUGGAUCACUUAACAAGAAUGAGAUCGAAUCUUUUGAAGAGCACCCGCAAAUUUCUUAAAGGACAGGAUGAAGAUCAAGUACACAGUGUUCCUAUAGCACAGAUGGGGAAUUACCAGGAAUACCUCAAGCAAGUACCUUCUCCAUUAAGAGAGCUUGAUCCUGAUCAGCCUCGAAGGCUGCAUACAUUUGGUAACCCCUUUAAACUGGAUAAAAAGGGAAUGAUGAUAGAUGAAGCAGAUGAAUUUGUGGCUGGACCUCAGAAUAAACAUAAACGACCAGGAGAACCAAAUAUGCAAGGGAUCCCCAAAAGACGUCGGUGUAUGUCUCCACUACUACGAGGCAGACAGCAGAACCCUGUUGUGAACAAUCAUAUUGGAGGAAAAGGACCACCUGCACCUAUAACUCAAGCACAACCAGAUCUUAUAAAACCCCUUUUGCUUCAUAAAAGUAAGAAUUUGAACUCAAAGACAUUUCCUGCUUUUUGCUUCUUCUUACAAAAGAGAUUUUAGUUAGGUUUUCAAGGGAGCAUUAUUGCAUUAACAGAAAGACGACUUCAGUUUCAGUUUAAACACAACAACUGAUUAUUAAAAGCAUGUAGAUAUAGCAAAGAGUGAAUAAGACAGUAGUGCUGUGCACCCUCAUUUACAAUCAGCAGGGUAAGAAAGCCAUUGAAUAGAUAAUUAUA